GUCUGCUACGUCGCGCGCCCGACCGGGAAUUCGCCGCUCAUGAUUUGCGGCCAUGUACGGCACGUCUUCUGCGAUUGUUUGCGCAGGAUCCCGUGCAUGCUCCAGCACGAGAUAUCCCCGCCGCUCUGCUUCAUCUUGAAAACGCUCCUUGGUCCAGUCAGCUUGUUCAAGAAAUUCAUCGAAUGUUGGCAUCGCCGUUUCGACGGGAGACCCCCAUUCUCGCCGCACAUUGUCAACCGAGGAACUGAGAGUGGUCAUCAGUCCACAGCGCAUGCCGCCAACCAUACUCUCUCCUGGGCGCUACAACAGCGCAGUAAGACAAGUUCUCCUGCGGUUGUUGGCCCAAAUUCA
RNAcentral lists this unclassified non-coding RNA (351 nucleotides) under Hevea brasiliensis (rubber tree). Lineage: Eukaryota; Viridiplantae; Streptophyta; Magnoliopsida; Malpighiales; Euphorbiaceae. The record is from RNAcentral.